GCCAGUUGAGCAUGAUCAGUGCAUAUGUCAUUUUAUCUUUUCUCCCCUCUCAAGCAGUCAUCAUUCGAGGACAAAUGUUUCCAAGGGAGAGAUAUUGUAAUACCCUAAAAAAUCCAAACCAAUUUUAAAUCCAUGUACCAAGCCUAUACAUAGUACAUCAUGGUUCUUUAAUAGUUUUAUGAGUAAGUUAGAUGUAUAUUAAGGCUUCAAAUAA
This 214-nucleotide long non-coding RNA is filed under the name Capsicum annuum. Its description in RNAcentral is "long non-coding RNA (CANN_LNC015328)". Lineage: Eukaryota; Viridiplantae; Streptophyta; Magnoliopsida; Solanales; Solanaceae. The record is from RNAcentral.